This 196-nucleotide small RNA is filed under the name Rhodococcus rhodnii. RNAcentral's name for it is "c-di-AMP sequence". It matches the Rfam family "c-di-AMP riboswitch aptamer (ydaO/yuaA leader)". From Rfam's summary of the family: This family represents a conserved RNA structure found upstream of the ydaO and yuaA genes in Bacillus subtilis and related genes in other bacteria. The record is from RNAcentral. RNAcentral also lists the same sequence under 1 other name. Lineage: Bacteria; Bacillati; Actinomycetota; Actinomycetes; Mycobacteriales; Nocardiaceae.
GCCUGGUCACCGCUCAAUCGGAACUCCUCGCGGAGUCCCGAACCGGGAACCCACGAUUCCACCGGGGUGAAUCCCGACGGAACGGCACGGAACCACUGCGCCACGCGCACAGCGGAUCCGGUCGGACCGAAGGGUAGGGCUGAUCUUCCCAGCCCGAACCCGUCAGCUAACCCGGUCGGCGGACGACAGGAAGAAA